This 490-nucleotide ribosomal RNA is filed under the name uncultured bacterium. RNAcentral's name for it is "partial 16S ribosomal RNA". It matches the Rfam family "Bacterial small subunit ribosomal RNA", at positions 30 to 507 of the family's 1533-position model. The record is from RNAcentral.
AUUGAACGCUGGCGGCAGGCCUAACACAUGCAAGUCGAACGGUAACAGGAAACAGCUUGCUGUUUCGCUGACGAGUGGCGGACGGGUGAGUAAUGUCUGGGAAACUGCCUGAUGGAGGGGGAUAACUACUGGAAACGGUAGCUAAUACCGCAUAACGUCGCAGGACCAAAGAGGGGGACCUUCGGGCCUCUUGCCAUCGGAUGUGCCCAGAUGGGAUUAGCUAGUAGGUGGGGUAACGGCUCACCUAGGCGACGAUCCCUAGCUGGUCUGAGAGGAUGACCAGCCACACUGGAACUGAGACACGGUCCAGACUCCUACGGGAGGCAGCAGUGGGGAAUAUUGCACAAUGGGCGCAAGCCUGAUGCAGCCAUGCCGCGUGUAUGAAGAAGGCCUUCGGGUUGUAAAGUACUUUCAGCGGGGAGGAAGGGAGUAAAGUUAAUACCUUUACUCAUUGACGUUACCCGCAGAAGAAGCACCGGCUAACUCCGUG